RNAcentral lists this long non-coding RNA (842 nucleotides) under Androctonus crassicauda. The record is from RNAcentral. Lineage: Eukaryota; Metazoa; Arthropoda; Arachnida; Scorpiones; Buthidae.
CUCCGGAUAUGUAGACUUGUCGAGAGGUGUCUUGCUGCUCCUGUUUGGACACUGCAAGUUUUAAAUAUUUAAUUUAUUAUAUUAAAUUAUACACAAUUAAAAACGGCUUAUUGAAUAAGUGUAAGCAAUCCGUCUAAAUCAAUUAUUACGCGUGUGAGAAAAAUGUCACAUACUAUGCAAUUUAAUUGUUUGUUUAACAACGUCACUCGUAAAUGAUUUCAAAUGGUAAGAUUAAGAAAGAAAGAAUUUAAUUAAAUGCAAAUUAAAGUUAAAUUAACAACUCCGACAUAAAAUGAGACACUUGAUCCUAUUCUUCGAACAUUUUGAUUAGUUUAAACACAAAGUUGCUUUAUUGUACUUCAUUUAAAUUUAACUUUGUAUGUUUAAUUUUGCUUCUUAACUGAAAAAUGUUGUUUUAUAUGCAACUUUCAUUAAUUAACAAGCUUGUUUUUGCAUAUUUUACGUCCCUUUCCAAUCAGAGAGAUUAUUAAGGGGAACCUCCAAUUACGAGCUGUACCCACACCUGUAGAAGGGGCCAGAUGAUGAGCGAACCGCCCAUCCGGCGCCCUCCACAGGUGGGGAGGCCCGGAGGGAGCCCAUCCGGAGUGGGGAGGCCCGGCGAUUCCCGAAAUCUUUUCGGGGAUCGCCGGGUAGGGCCCAGCACCCCGAAAAAACUUUUCAGGAGUUACCAGAUCCACGCAGGAGUUACCAGAUCCACGCAGGAGUUACCAUUUUCAGGAGUUAUCAGACCCGAGGUCCUCGGGUCUGGUAACUCCUGAAAAUGGUCCUCCUGCGUGGCACCCUGACAGCGUUACCACUCGGCCAUCCGGCGCAAAUUAACA